This 500-nucleotide ribosomal RNA is filed under the name uncultured bacterium. RNAcentral's name for it is "partial 16S ribosomal RNA". It matches the Rfam family "Bacterial small subunit ribosomal RNA", at positions 30 to 523 of the family's 1533-position model. The record is from RNAcentral.
AUUGAACGCUGGCGGCAGGCCUAACACAUGCAAGUCGAGCGGUAGAGAGGAGCUUGCUUCUCUUGAGAGCGGCGGACGGGUGAGUAAUGCAUAGGAAUCUGCCUGGAAGUGGGGGAUAACGUUCGGAAACGGACGCUAAUACCGCAUACGUCCUACGGGAGAAAGUGGGGGAUCUUCGGACCUCACGCUAUCAGAUGAGCCUAGGUCGGAUUAGCUAGUUGGUGAGGUAAAGGCUCACCAAGGCGACGAUCCGUAACUGGUCUGAGAGGAUGAUCAGUCACACUGGAACUGAGACACGGUCCAGACUCCUACGGGAGGCAGCAGUGGGGAAUAUUGGACAAUGGGCGCAAGCCUGAUCCAGCCAUGCCGCGUGUGUGAAGAAGGUCUUCGGAUUGUAAAGCACUUUAAGUUGGGAGGAAGGUCAGUAGCUUAAUUCGUUGCUGAUUUGACGUUACCGACAGAAUAAGCACCGGCUAACUCUGUGCCAGCAGCCGCGGUAA